Molecule: ribosomal RNA, 460 nt
Filed under: uncultured bacterium
Lineage: Bacteria
Description: partial 16S ribosomal RNA
Rfam family: Bacterial small subunit ribosomal RNA
Source: RNAcentral
ACUACGGGUGGCAGCAGUGAGGAAUAUUGGUCAAUGGACGGAAGUCUGAACCAGCCAUGCCGCGUGCAGGAAGACGGCUCUAUGAGUUGUAAACUGCUUUUGUACAAGGGUAAACCUGAAUACGUGUAUUCAGCUGAAAGUACUGUACGAAUAAGGAUCGGCUAACUCCGUGCCAGCAGCCGCGGUAAUACGGGGGAUACAAGCGUUAUCCGGAUUUAUUGGGUUUAAAGGGUGCGUAGGCGGAUCGAUAAGUUAGAGGUGAAAUGUCCGAGCUCAACUCGGGAACUGCCUCUAAUACUGGUGAUCUAGAGAGUAGAUGCGGUAGGCGGAAUGUAUGGUGUAGCGGUGAAAUGCUUAGAGAUCAUACAGAACACCGAUUGCGAAGGCAGCUGACCAAUCUAUAUCUGACGUUGAGGCACGAAAGCGUGGGGAGCAAACAGGAUUAGAUACCCCAGUAGUC